AUGGUGCUGCUGAUGGUCCUUUGGCACACCUGGCAUGUCCGGAACGAGAUCACACAUGAUAAAGCACCGCCUCCAACCGAAGCUUCCCGCCGGUUUCUCAACAGCUACAUAAACUCGUUGUUGUGUGUCAAGCAGUUUCCUCGAGAUGACCAGAUCAAAGGCAAAAUGGUUCUCCAAGUGGACAGCGGACGACUCAGUUUGAAACGCUCACACGCAGCCCGGGAACUAAUAUGGGAUGAGCCAAACUCAACACGGAUGGCAGCUAUCUCGCCACCGACGGCUCCACUGGCUGUGGCAUCGUCCUUCGUGACUCUGCCGGUUAGAUUAUCUACACUGCCUGUAGGCAGCUCUUCACAUGUGAUAAUGCACUGGAAGCUGAAUCGGAAGCGUGCAAGGAAGUACUAA
Molecule: ribosomal RNA, 405 nt
Filed under: Triticum aestivum (bread wheat)
Lineage: Eukaryota; Viridiplantae; Streptophyta; Magnoliopsida; Poales; Poaceae
Description: partial small subunit ribosomal RNA
Source: RNAcentral